RNAcentral lists this ribosomal RNA (736 nucleotides) under uncultured Atopobium sp. Its description in RNAcentral is "bacterial SSU rRNA". It matches the Rfam family "Bacterial small subunit ribosomal RNA", at positions 28 to 776 of the family's 1533-position model. Lineage: Bacteria; Bacillati; Actinomycetota; Coriobacteriia; Coriobacteriales; Atopobiaceae. The record is from RNAcentral.
GAUGAACGCUGGCGGCGCGCCUAACACAUGCAAGUCGAACGGUUAAAGCACCUUUUAGGUGUGUAUAAAGUGGCGAACGGCUGAGUAACACGUGGGCAACCUGCCCUCCUCUUGGGGAUAGCCUCGGGAAACCGAGGAUAAUACCCGAUACUUCAAUGUGGCCGCAUGACGACAUUGAGAAAGCUUUUGCGGAGAAGGAUGGGCCCGCGGCCUGUUAGCUUGUUGGUGGGGUAGAGGCCUACCAAGGCAAUGAUGGGUAGCUGGGUUGAGAGACCGACCAGCCAGAUUGGGACUGAGACACGGCCCAGACUCCUACGGGAGGCAGCAGUGGGGAAUCUUGCACAAUGGGCGAAAGCCUGAUGCAGCGACGCCGCGUGCGGGACGAAGGCCUUCGGGUUGUAAACCGCUUUCAGCAGGGACGAGGCGAAAGUGACGGUACCUGCAGAAGAAGCCCCGGCUAACUACGUGCCAGCAGCCGCGGUAAUACGUAGGGGGCAAGCGUUAUCCGGAUUCAUUGGGCGUAAAGCGCUCGUAGGCGGUCUGUUAGGUCGGGAGUUAAAUCCGGAGGCUCAACCUCCGUUCGCUCCCGAUACCGGCAGACUUGAGUUUGGUAGGGGAAGGUGGAAUUCCUAGUGUAGCGGUGGAAUGCGCAGAUAUUAGGAAGAACACCAGUGGCGAAGGCGGCCUUCUGGGCCAUAACUGACGCUGAGGAGCGAAAGCUAGGGGAGCAAACAGG